UUUCAUAGUAAAACCUUUGUUGAUUUAAUAAACAUAAUGGAUACUCAUUAAAAUAUUCAAACAGCAUAGAAAGGGACAAAGAAGAAAGCAGCCAGCAAUCCAAGUACCACUAUCCAGAAAUAGCCAGUGAUAUCUCUUUAUGUGUGGAAAUACAAUGAAAAUUGAGUGAGAGACAUACACAGAGGAAGAAGAAAAAGAGUAAGUUAUAAAAGGUAUUAAAUUAAAUUAAUUUAAAUUUAGCAGAAAUAAAAAACAAGUAAAAAAUGAAUAAACCUCAUGUUAUUUCUUUCCCACAGAGGUAUUAGAUCCUACAAGACCCCUCUUGGAGUCAUUUUAUGUGAGGUUUUCUUCUUCCUUCUUCUUUUUUCUAAAUCACCUGUUUUAAUCUUAGACAUCAUCUAUUAACUUACCAUGUUAAAGAUGAGGUAAUUAGAACUUAUUUUUUUCUUUCGUCUUGCAUUUGUCUCUCUACCAACUUACAUUGCUUUUAUUAUUUUUACUUUGAGUUAAGCAGUGAGUCACCAGUAAUGUCCAGUGUUAUUGGAGUAUGUAGGAAAACAAGCAUUCUCAAACACAAUAUGAGGAAGUGCACAUUGAUAAAGAUAUUUUGAAGGGUAAUUUGGCAUAUUAAGUAAAAUUUAAAUUUGACCCAGCAAUUCUACUUAUAGCAAUCUAUCCAAAGCAUAUUUGUACAAAGAUAAGUAUACAAGCUUUUGUGCAACACUGUUUUUAAUACCAAAGAGUUGGAAAUGUUAAUCAGUAAGAAAAUGGUUUUAUGAAGUAUGGUGCAUUCGCAAUGUGAAAUACUAUAGAAAAGUUAAAAGAAUUAUGGAGACAAAUAUGUACUGAAAUGGAAAAAAUUCUAAAUUAUAUUGUUAAGAGAAAAAAGAAAGUCAUACAAUAUACCUACAGUGUGAUUCCAUUUUAUUAUGAAAUAAUAUAAAUAUAUAUCCACACAUUCACACUGAUACAGAAUUAUACAUACAGAGAAAGAUUGGGGAGAGGAAAAGGACUGGGAAGGUAAAGAGGAAAGUUCAUAUUUAAUCCCAUAUACUGAAAAUCUGCCUUUGUGUUUUACAACAGGAAUGUAUACGUUGUAUAAAAGGCAGAGAAAAGGAGAAAAAACAGUCUCUUCUCCAAUAUGUGUAAGGAAUCUAAUUUUAGGUAGUAUUUCUGGUUUAAUGAUUGAUAUAAUGGGCAAAUCUGCUUUCUAUUUCGGAUGAGAAACAAAGCAAAACAAAACACCCUAGCUUUUGACAUAAUCUGCAUGCCUUGCCAUAGAUGUUAGCCAACAAACCAAAACUUCUCCUCACCUCAAAAUGACAUAAUUUCUUUCCUAUUACACUUAAGAUCCUGGAAUCAUGUAGUUCACUGCAUUCUUCAAUCUUGAAUAAAAGUGCUAGACUACUGGCAAUGCUAUUCUCUUUCAAAGAGCUUCUUUCCCAUUAUGCCCAUGUUUUUACUUUGAGGACUGAAUGCUCAUUCCACUUUAAAAUAAAGCUUAACUAUAAUUUUAUUUUAUACUUUAGUUACUGAUAUUACCUUGUGACUUGAGAUGAAGACUAAAAGGAAAAGUAAAAUAACAGUUUGGCUCACAUUGUUGGAAUUUAAGUUAAUAUGACUCAUACUAGCAAUUAGCUUCUUGUCCUGAAAGGUAAAUAUCAGUGUAUUUACUGACGCUUUGAGGUAUGGGAGUAAGGAGACAACGCCACCAAAUUAUGUGGUAUAAGUUUAAGCUCUUAAGUUACCAAGGAAAAACUUAAAAGGAUCCACUUGCCAGUUACUUACCAAUAUGAUCAUCUAACAAACACCUAUUAUGAGCAACCCCUAUGCUAAGUUCCAUGAAGGACAGCAAUAUAAGAUAUAAUCUUUUUUUUGUUAAACGAUGUGCAUACGUGAGAUAAUAUGGAAAGUUGAAUCUAAGAAAGCCUGGCUUGGGAGGUAUUCAAGUGGUCGUGGUAGAGUUAAAGAUACCCAGAAGUCUUCUAAGAAGCACAAAACAUGAUUCCUGUACUCAGAGACAUGCAGUCCUAUUCACAUGCAAAGAGGACCUACACUGGCUAUUGCCAAGUAUCAAGCGAGGUGAGUGCUAUCAUAAGUCACAGAAUGGAUACAUUAUUUGAGUAGUCAGAUAAAUCUCACAGCAUGAGGCAUAAGAUGUCUAAUAAUGUCUAGAAAGCAAUUGGAAAUAUGUGAUUAAAGCUUGGGAAUGAACACUGGGUUAAAGAUAGACACUUUGGAGUCAUUUGCAUGGCUGUGAUAAAUAAGAUUUGAAAUAGAAGAUAAACAGAAUGAAAAGUAAAGGAAGAUUAAAAUCUGAAGAAAACAGCAAGACACUGUAAAAAUAAAGACAGUUAUAGAACUGACAUGUUCACAAAUAUUAAGCAAAACAAGAGUUAACUAAGUGGACUGCAUUCAAAAAGUUUAAGUAAUCUUUUUAACUUUUGCUUGGAAUAUUGCUGAUCCUUGUUUUGUUUUUCAGAGUCAAGGAAACUUAUUUUAAACUAUUAAUGGCCAUUAAUAAUUGAGUAAGGUAUACUACUGUAAACAAAAUUUGGAGCAUGUUCAUUUAUCUCCACCUGGUUCCUCUAAAAUUUGGAGACUACCUGUAAGUACUCUUAACUUAUGGCAGUAUAGUUGUUUGCAUCAGUGCAAUAAGAAUGCAUUUUUCUUUGUCAACAGGACACAAUUGGAUAAACUGGUUAUUUUACCAAGGCUUUGGCUGAAAUGGUGUGUUUCCCUUUAAGGAAUCAAGCUUGACAUGCAGAGCCAAUAAAAGCCCCUUGGAGAACUGGCCUCAUACCUUGUCUAUACAGUCCCCGCACAGGGUUCCUAACCUGUAGUCAAUAAAGAAUGUCACUUUCUAACAGGUCUGGAAGCUCGGAGUUUCUCUUGGGACCUCAAGAAGUGAGGAUCACCCAACUCACAGCAAUCAAACUCCAAAUGGUGCUGCAAACUGAACCCCACAUGGACACGCCAUUCUUCUGAGGACCCUUAGAUCCACCCCAGGAGGAGCCCUAGCUGCUGUUCCCCAUUCGAUGCCCCUUUUCAGCCCCAACUGGACUCCAAGUGCCACGAGAACAGAGAUUGGGUCUGGUCCCCAGCUUCAGUGCCUCCAAGGCAGAAACUCAAGAGACGUUGUUGAACUGUCAGCCUUUACAUUUAUGCAUUACUAUUGAAGGCCUGGAAUAAAUGGAUCGUGUUUUACCUGUUAUCUUGCUCAUCUCUAUUACUGCUUCAUCAGCAGCUCUUCCCAAAGCAAUAAAAUGAAC
This 3272-nucleotide long non-coding RNA is filed under the name Homo sapiens (human). RNAcentral describes it as "HSALNT0293536". The record is from RNAcentral. Lineage: Eukaryota; Metazoa; Chordata; Mammalia; Primates; Hominidae.